Molecule: ribosomal RNA, 362 nt
Filed under: Pieris napi napi
Lineage: Eukaryota; Metazoa; Arthropoda; Insecta; Lepidoptera; Pieridae
Also listed under: 9 other names
Description: partial large subunit ribosomal RNA
Source: RNAcentral
GUCUUUUAAUUGAAGACUUGUAUGAAUGAUUUGAUGAAAUAUAAACUGUCUCUUUAUUAAAAAUAGAAUUUAAUUUUUUAGUUAAAAAGCUAAAAUUUAUUUAAAAGACGAGAAGACCCUAUAGAGUUUUAUAUUUAAAAUUAUAUUAAUUUUGUAUAAAAUUUUUAUUUAAUAUUUUUUUAAGUAUUUUAUUGGGGUGAUAGAAAAAUUUAAUAAACUUUUUUUAAAAAUUUUACAUUAAUAUAUGAAAUUUUGAUCCAUAAUUUAUGAUUAAAAGAUUAAAUUACCUUAGGGAUAACAGCGUAAUUUUUUUUUUUAGUUCUUAUAAGAAAAAAAGUUUGCGACCUCGAUGUUGGAUUAAG